Molecule: ribosomal RNA, 253 nt
Filed under: uncultured bacterium
Lineage: Bacteria
Description: partial 16S ribosomal RNA
Rfam family: Bacterial small subunit ribosomal RNA
Source: RNAcentral
UACGGAGGGUGCAAGCGUUAAUCGGAAUCACUGGGCGUAAAGCGCGCGUAGGCGGCUUGGUAAGUCAGAUGUGAAAGCCCCGGGCUCAACCUGGGAAUUGCAUUUGAUACUGCCAAACUAGAGUGUAGUAGAGGGAAGUGGAAUUCCGAGUGUAGCGGUGAAAUGCGUAGAUAUUCGGAGGAACAUCAGUGGCGAAGGCGACUUCCUGGACUAACACUGACGCUGAGGUGCGAAAGCGUGGGUAGCAAACAGG